AGGACGACGCUGGCGGCGUGCUUAAAACAUGCAAGUCGAACGGACUUCUCAUGAAGCUUGCGAUUGAGAAGUUAGUGGCGGACGGGUGAGUAACGCGUGGGCAACCUGCCCCUGAGCCCGGGAUAACAGUUCGAAAGGACUGCUAAGACCGGAUAUACUUGCGGUGAAGCAUUUCACUGCAAGGAAAGGGAACGCUCAGGGAUGGGCCCGCGUCCCAUUAGCUAGUUGGUGAGGUAACGGCCCACCAAGGCGACGAUGGGUAGCCGGCCUGAGAGGGUGAACGGCCACACUGGGACUGAGACACGGCCCAGACUCCUACGGGAGGCAGCAGUUGGGAAUCUUCGGCAAUGGGCGCAAGCCUGACCGAGCAACGCCGCGUGAGUGAUGAAGGUUUUCGGAUUGUAAAGCUCUGUCUUCCGGGACGAUAAUGACGGUACCGGAGGAGGAAGCCACGGCUAACUACGUG
Molecule: ribosomal RNA, 466 nt
Filed under: uncultured bacterium
Lineage: Bacteria
Description: bacterial SSU rRNA
Rfam family: Bacterial small subunit ribosomal RNA
Source: RNAcentral